UCCUUUCCCUCCUUUUUAAUCCUAAUCUUUAAUCUUGAUAUAUUAUAACAUUAAAUUUUUACAUAUUAAAAACCAAUUUUUCCAUAUUCUUUUAUACCAGUACAGCUAGAAACCACUUAACUUCAAUCCAACAUCAUUCUAACAUUCAUUAAUUUUGCAAUAUUUCUGUAAAUAGUCUUUAAAUUUCUUCCAAUCUUCUUCCACCGACUCUUCUCCCUGGUCUCGGAUUCUGCCAGUCAUUUCCGCCAAUUCCAUGUAGUCCAUCAAUUUCAUCUGCCAUUCCUCCAGUGUGGGUAAGUCUUGUGUCUUCCAAU
This 314-nucleotide long non-coding RNA is filed under the name Podarcis lilfordi (Lilford's wall lizard). Lineage: Eukaryota; Metazoa; Chordata; Lepidosauria; Squamata; Lacertidae. The record is from RNAcentral.